Molecule: transfer RNA, 73 nt
Filed under: Apis dorsata (giant honeybee)
Lineage: Eukaryota; Metazoa; Arthropoda; Insecta; Hymenoptera; Apidae
Description: tRNA-Val
Rfam family: tRNA
About the family: Transfer RNA (tRNA) molecules are approximately 80 nucleotides in length. Their secondary structure includes four short double-helical elements and three loops (D, anti-codon, and T loops).
Source: RNAcentral
GGUUCCGUGGUGUAGCGGUUAUCACAUCUGCUUUACACGCAGAAGGUCACCGGUUCGAUCCCGGUCGGAACCA